UACAGAGGUCUCAAGCGUUGUUCGGAUUCAUUGGGCGUAAAGGGUGCGUAGGCGGCGCGGUAAGUCGGGUGUGAAAUCUCGGAGCUUAACUCCGAAACUGCAUUCGAUACUGCCGUGCUUGAGGACUGGAGAGGAGACUGGAAUUUACGGUGUAGCGGUGAAAUGCGUAGAUAUCGUAAGGAAGACCAGUGGCGAAAGCGGCUUCCUGGUCCAGCACCGACGUUCAGGCACGAAAGCGUGGGGAGCAAACAGG
RNAcentral lists this ribosomal RNA (253 nucleotides) under uncultured bacterium. RNAcentral's name for it is "partial 16S ribosomal RNA". It matches the Rfam family "Bacterial small subunit ribosomal RNA", at positions 524 to 776 of the family's 1533-position model. The record is from RNAcentral.